CUUCCUCUAGUGUUUUCAUGCGCAGGCUGCAGAUGAUGUUCUUCCAUCCGUUUAAGUCCAACUUCAACUGCUAGAACUGCAUAGUUUGCCUUGGGGAGGAACAUCAACGGAUUUUUUGGUUUCUGGGCAGUCAGGUCUCGCAUCACUUCAGCGUUACACAUCCAUCAGCAGAUUUAGUUUCGUUGUUUGGUGUUCAAAGACGACAGCGAUGAUCAUCAGACUUGGCAGACUGACUCCUGGAUACUUCCGACUUUUGCAGAGACAGGUAGCUGGUGAGGUGCAGGCCCCAACACGCGACCGCUCCGCCAACCAAAUCGCCAUGAUGCUGGCCAUCAUGGGUCUCAGCCUUUCCUACUACAGUGCCAAACAGAUGACGGAGAAGGUUGGGCACGAGCCCGCGCCAUGAAGGUGCUCCUCGUUGGUUUGUUUCUGGAAAGGAAAGCAAGAAGCCAGACUGGAGGUGAAGUUGAAGCGGGAUCACCACGUCCAGUCUCUGUCACACUACACCCUCUCUGUAUCUAUCAGAAACUGAUUUCUGAGCAUUCACUAACCACCAAUCUGGGUCUGCUAGGGUCACUUUAGUUUAGCUCUCAGCGGGUUGCAACCUGCUUUAUUUGGGUUUGUUGGUCUUUAUAUCUUGAUAGUUGACUUUGUACAUGCAUCAGAGAGUCGAUCGAUACUACCGGAGAUUUCUAGAGAAGACGUUUAUCUCCUCCAGAUGCAUAUCAUGUAGGGAAUACUGCUGCUACUGUGAGCCAUAAAGGGAGCGACCUCUGGAUUUGAGACGUACCGAUCAACUAUUGACAGCAGAAUGAGAGAUUAUUUUAGAUUUAUCACCCAAAACUCACACAGACCUGAGGACACGAAGGCAUCACCUCACUUGUCAUCUCCGUAUUAGACGAUGUGUUAUCAAGAGCGAUUACGAUACUACACCAUGACUGCUUUGGGGACUUUUCAUUCUAACUAAACACAAGAUUUCAUAUCAUCUUUAAUUGUCUUGAUCAGUGGAUAAUCCAGCAGUUCCUGUUAGACGUUUAAAGUUGACUUUGUGUGUUUGUGCAAUCGCAUGCAAUCCAUGACAUUAUUUCUAAUAGUUUUUUAAUAUAACACUGUGAUUUAUGAUGAAUGUUUGUUAUGUUUUUAAGAAUCGAUGAACAAAUAAAGCUGUGAACCUUUUGAACAACCUCAA
Long non-coding RNA from Triplophysa rosa, 1189 nucleotides. RefSeq lists it as uncharacterized. The transcript has 3 exons. Lineage: Eukaryota; Metazoa; Chordata; Actinopteri; Cypriniformes; Nemacheilidae. The record is from RefSeq and is a predicted model, not a curated record.